GCAUAAAGGAGACUGGACUGCAAAACAGAACUGUGUGCAAAGGGAAUUUGUUGAAAUAAACAGGCUGCACCCUCUGGGACAGAGAAGCAUGGUCACCUGGGAAGGAGAGAAAAGGGAGCUUGGGUCACUCCAGUAUCAGCAGCCAGCUCAGAAAUGUAGACCUGCACAAAAUAAUACCCAGGCAGCUAUGAGAAUAUCUGUUGCAGCCAAGAGGGCACCCUGCCUUCUCUUUUCAUAUCCAGUGAAGACUGUCCCUCUCCGUGACACCAUGGCUGGAGGAAGUGGAUACACCGUGCCUGCUGCAUCUGAGGGCUGAAAUGCAAGAUCUUCAAAGUCUCCCUCUGAUGCCGAGCCGAGGCUGGACUGUACUGCCGCCAUCUCCGCUCACUGCAACCUCCCUGCCUGAUUCUCCUGCCUCAGCCUGCCGAGUGCCUGGGAUUGCAGGCGCGCGCCGCCACGCCUGACUGGUUUUUGUAUUUUUUGGUGGAGACGGGGUUUCGCGGUGUUGGCCGGGCUGGUCUCCAGCUCCUGACCGCGAGUGAUCUGCCCGCCUCAGCCUCCCGAGGUGCCGGGAUUGCAGACUGAGUCUCGCUCACUCAGUGCUCAAUGUUGCCCAGGCUGGAGUGCAGUGGCGUGAUCUCGGCUCGCUACAACCUUCACCUCCCAGCCGCCUGCCUUGGCCUCCCAAAGUGCCGAGAUUGCAGCCUCUGCCCGGCCGCCACCCCGUCUGGGAAGUGAGGAGCGUCUCUGCCCGGCCACCCAUCGUCUGAGAUGUGGGGAGCGCCUCUGCCCCGCCACCCAUCGUCUGGGAUGUGGGGAGCGCCUCUGCCCCGCCACGACCCCGUCUGGGAACUGAGGAGUGUCUCUGCCCGACCGCCACCCCGUCUGGGAGGAGUCUCCAGGAGGUGUCUCCAUGUGCUGCUCCCAGUCCUGCUGGCCACGCCCUGCCCCACUGGUCAUCACAGUUCAUCCAGAUCCUCCUCUAAGAUACAAGAGAAUGACUCACUUCUUCCAGUUAGAUGUGGGAAACUUACACUUGUCCUAUGAGUUCUGGACUGUUUGUUCAGCUACUUACAAACGCCAUUUCGUUACAGCAGCCACGGGGAAGCAGUGGAUGAGAAGCAGGAAUAAUAUAGGC
This 1138-nucleotide long non-coding RNA is filed under the name Homo sapiens (human). RNAcentral's name for it is "HSALNT0376915". Lineage: Eukaryota; Metazoa; Chordata; Mammalia; Primates; Hominidae. The record is from RNAcentral.